CGGCCAGAUCUGACUCUGUUCU
This 22-nucleotide non-coding RNA is filed under the name Arabidopsis thaliana (thale cress). Lineage: Eukaryota; Viridiplantae; Streptophyta; Magnoliopsida; Brassicales; Brassicaceae. The record is from RNAcentral.